GACUCGAAAAACAAAACUUCACAGAUAUUUUUUCCUCGUUUUCACCAUUUUCGCCGUCGUAACCUACGAUUCGCCUUAUCCACUCUACACCAUGGUCUUCUCAUCCCUCCGGGCCGCCAACACUUCCUCCAGCCACAUAAUCGCCAUCGGAAGCUUCCUCGACGAUUAAAACAACCGCAUCGACAUCUUCUCUUUUGAUUCCGAUCCGAUGACCGUGAAGCCUCUCUCCAAUCUCUCCUUCGAGCAUCCUUAUCCUCCAACGAAGCUAAUGUUCAAUCCUUCUUCUCUCCGUCGUCCUUCAUCCGGAGAUCUACUCGAUUCUUCUACCAUUGAGCAUUGAGCCUAUCUCGGUUCUCAACAGUAGCAAAACGAGUCUACUCUUCAGAACCACAGAAAGAGUCUAAGCCUCUCUCACAUGCGUUAAGAGAAGACAGAACAUCCCAUGUGCGUUUAUGAGCAGCUCCACUGUCCUAAAAGCUGGAAUCAAUCACAAAGUUAUUAACUUUAUAGUCUCUUAUUUGUAAUUUCCAUUUCCUCUUCUAAAUACACCACUUUAAAUUUCAUUCGACCUAUGAGUUUUAUGAAUGAUGUAACCUAAACACAAUAACGAUAUUGCUCCCCCAUGAAGUUGCUAUUUUCGGGACUGUAAGUUGUCUUGUAUUAUGGUGAGACUGAGUUUCUCGAUAAACUGGAGAUGGUGACUAUUGAUGGCUGCAAGAAAGGUCAAGUUCAGUUUAUUUCAGUUUCCAUUAGAUGGUAUUCACAGGCAACUCAAGUGCACAUGGUAGAGUUGGUGCCACCGCUGUCGUUUGCUGCUUCAAUCCUUCAUCCUUGAGUUCUUGACUGUCGAGGUUCUUGAGUUAGCUGGAAACGCUAGCAAAUAUCUGAAAGUGAAGAGUAUAGCUCCAUGGCCUUUGCAGUUGGUCAUGAGAGGAUGUGGGAAUGAUAAGUUUAGGACAUGAUUUUGUGUUUUUGUUUAUGAAUUGGUUUGAUGGUUACAUGUUCUCUUCUAGAGUCCAUGUUUGUAGUUCACUUUGUAUGUUUUUUUAAUGGAAAAGAAUUUGUAAUUUAUGAUU
Molecule: long non-coding RNA, 1076 nt
Organism: Camelina sativa (false flax)
Lineage: Eukaryota; Viridiplantae; Streptophyta; Magnoliopsida; Brassicales; Brassicaceae
Source: RefSeq, a predicted model, not a curated record